AUUGAACGCUGGCGGCAUGCCUUACACAUGCAAGUCGAACGGUAACGGGUCUUCGGAUGCUGACGAGUGGCGAACGGGUGAGUAAUACAUCGGAACGUGCCUAGUAGUGGGGGAUAACUACCCGAAAGAGUGGCUAAUACCGCAUGAGAUCUACGGAUGAAAGCAGGGGAUCGCAAGACCUUGUGCUACUGGAGCGGCCGCUGGCAGAUGAGGUAGUUGGUGGGAUAAAAGCUUACCAAGCCGACGAUCUGUAGCUGGUCUGAGAGGAAAAUCAGCCACACUGGACUGAGACACGGCCCACACUCCUACGGGAGGCAGCAGUGGGGAAUUUUGGACAAUGGGCGCAAGCCUGAUCCAGCAAUGCCGCGUGCAGGAUGAAGGCCUUCGGGUUGUAAACUGCUUUUGUACGGAACGAAAAGCCCCGGGUUAAUACCCUGGGGUCAUGACGGUACCGUAAGAAUAAGCACCGGCUAACUACGUGCCAGCCGCCGCCGUAA
RNAcentral lists this ribosomal RNA (497 nucleotides) under uncultured bacterium. Its description in RNAcentral is "partial 16S ribosomal RNA". It matches the Rfam family "Bacterial small subunit ribosomal RNA", at positions 30 to 523 of the family's 1533-position model. The record is from RNAcentral.